Molecule: ribosomal RNA, 604 nt
Filed under: uncultured cyanobacterium
Lineage: Bacteria; Bacillati; Cyanobacteriota
Description: bacterial SSU rRNA
Rfam family: Bacterial small subunit ribosomal RNA
Source: RNAcentral
CGGACGGGUGAGUAAAGAGUGAGUACCUACCCUCCGGACGGGGACAACAGCUGGAAACGGCUGCUAAUCCCCGAUGAGCCUGCGGGUAAAAGGCCACUGGCGCCGGAGGAUGGGCUCGCGGCCGAUUAGCCUGGCGGUUGGGUAACGGCCGACCGAGGCAGCGAUCGGUAGCCGGUCUGAGAGGACGAUCGGCCACACUGGCACUGAGACACGGGCCAGACUCCUACGGGAGGCAGCAGUGGGGAAUCUUCCGCAAUGGGCGAAAGCCUGACGGAGCUACACCGCGUGAGGGAAGACGGCCUUUGGGCUGUAAACCUCUUUUCUCAGGGAAGAAGGUCUGACGGUACCUGAGGAAUCAGCCUCGGCUAACUCCGUGCCAGCAGCCGCGGUAAUACGGAGGAGGCAAGCGUUAUCCGGAAUUAUUGGGCGUAAAGCGUCCGCAGGGGGUCUUCCAAGUCUGCUGUCAAAGCCCGGGGCUCAACCCCGACGCGGCAGUGGAAACUGGGAGGCUAGAGUGCGGCAGGGGUAGAGGGAAUUCCCAGUGUAGCGGUGAAAUGCGUAGAUAUUGGGAAGAACACCGGUGGCGAAAGCGCUCUACUGGGCC